AAUGGGUAUCAUGUAGUUGUUUUAUUCUAUACAAGAACAUGGUCUUGGGGGUCUUGGAAAUAAACGACGUCACAAAGUAUAUAAAAACAUUAUGAAUCAGUUCGAUACGAUAUCUUAUCUUCAGUUUAUUUAUUUGUACAUAAAUAUAACCCAAUUAUCUAUAACAAUAGCAGCCAAUGAAUGGUUAAACUUUUUUUUAACCACGUGACUGUUAACUUUUUAUUACUUAAGGGUAUUUAAAAGAACUUUAAAUUGCGGAUUUUGUUUAUGCUUUCUAUAUUUAGUGGGAUCUUUACGGGGCAAAGAUAUUUUGUGUUUCUUCUUGUGGACAAAUCAAAAUAAAUACAAACUAAUGUUGCUGGACAUGAAAAUGGAAAAGUCAAAGUCAGAGAUUAACAUUACAACUGAUUCGGAAUCUGAGAGUAGUGAAGAUGAUGCAUAUGAAGCAAAUAUAGAAUUUUCUAAUGCAUGUAGACAUUAUUAUUUAUCGCGACUUGAAGCAACUGAAAGUUUUAAGAAGGACCUAAAGAAAGAAGACACGGUAAAGAAAUCUAUUUCACCGAGGCAACGACGAAGGUCGACAAUAGACGAUAAAAUGGAAACACUCAGAUCAGAAAUGGCAUCGCUAAUGGACCAGGAUGUGUCUUUGAUGAAACAAUUAUUAACACUAAACGAGACAAUUAACGAAAUCAAACAAGGUCGUUUGUCGUCGUCAAGUAAAGGAUCCGUAAGUUCCCGCGGCUUUGUUAGUGGAAGUGAUUGGUCUGUUUCAGAAAUGUCAAUCUCACCAAAUGACGAACCCACUUCAUCUAAGUUAACAGGAUAUGUACCAACGCACCCGCAUAAUUCCAGUAAUGCCAGUGUAGAAAGAACAAAGGAUAUGCCAAUCUGUAAAGAAGACAAAAAACAAAUAAGUUUGACAGAUUUGUGGAAAAUGCGAACACAGACAUCUUUGACCUCUAACGAUUCGGGUUAUGUGGAAGACCCCAAUAACCUGCUUCAGACCGAAGUUUAAAUUUAGUCAUGUAAACUCAAUUUUAAGAGAUGGUGCUAAUUCAAAGUGCAAUAUUUAAAAAAAAAACUUUUUUUUUAAAGUUUUUUUUUACAUAAAAUAUUUAAAUAAGAAA
Mytilus californianus (California mussel) is the source of this 1127-nucleotide long non-coding RNA. RefSeq lists it as uncharacterized. The record is from RefSeq and is a predicted model, not a curated record. Lineage: Eukaryota; Metazoa; Mollusca; Bivalvia; Mytilida; Mytilidae. The transcript has 2 exons.